AGAGUUUGAUCCUGGCUCAGAACGAACGCGGCGGCGUGGAUUAGGCAUGCAAGUCGAAGGAGCUUUUAGCUUUUUCGAAAGCUUAGUGGCGAAAGGGUGAUUAACACGUGGGUAACAUGCCCUGGAGAACGGGAUAACCUAUCGAAAGAUGGGCUAAUACCGUAUACGUUUCAUGAAUACAAGUUCAUGAAGGAAAGAUGGGGAUCCGCAAGGACCUAUCGCUCUUGGAUGGGCCCGCGGCCUAUCAGCUAGUUGGUGAGGUAACGGCUCACCAAGGCUAAGACGGGUAGCUGGUCUGAGAGGAUGGUCAGCCACACUGGGACUGAGACACUGCCCAGACACCUACGGGUGGCUGCAGUCGAGAAUCUUUCGCAAUGGGGGAAACCCUGACGAAGCGACGCCGCGUGCAGGAUGAAGGCCUUAGGGUUGUAAACUGCUGUCAGCUGGGAAGAAAAGGUCGGUCACGAAUACUGACCGGCUCUGACGGUACCAGCAGAGGAAGCCACGGCUAACUCUGUGCCAGCAGCCGCGGUAAUACAGAGGUGGCGAGCGUUGUUCGGAUUCAUUGGGCGUAAAGGGUCCGUAGGCGGUCCGGAAAGUCAAGUGUGAAAUCCUACAGCUUAACUGUAGAACUGCACUCGAAACUUCCGGACUAGAGUGUGAGAGGGGUGAAGGGAAUUCCCAGUGUAAGGGUGAAAUCUGCAGAGAUUGGGAAGAACACCUGUCGCGAAGGCGCUUCACUGGCUCAUGACUGACGCUGAGGGACGAAAGCUAGGGUAGCAAACGGGAUUAGAUACCCUGGUAGUC
RNAcentral lists this ribosomal RNA (807 nucleotides) under uncultured bacterium. Its description in RNAcentral is "bacterial SSU rRNA". It matches the Rfam family "Bacterial small subunit ribosomal RNA", at positions 8 to 795 of the family's 1533-position model. The record is from RNAcentral.